RNAcentral lists this small RNA (28 nucleotides) under Bombyx mori (domestic silkworm). RNAcentral's name for it is "ovarian small RNA-25480". The record is from RNAcentral. Lineage: Eukaryota; Metazoa; Arthropoda; Insecta; Lepidoptera; Bombycidae.
UCACUUCCGGUCAGCAAGUCAUCGACUA